GGGAAUCUGAGGCUUUGGCAAGGAGGCACAGGCGGUUCCUUGGAAUCAAGAAUGACUUGCGCAAAGAGCAUUGAUGUCAUAUUUCCAGUGCCUUGGGGUAGAUACUCUGUUUGUACAUCCUGGUGGAAGGGAAGUCAUUGAUGAAGCAGCUAAAGAUUGUUGGACUCAGGACACUGCUGUAUGGAACUCCUGCAGUGAUAUCAUAGGCCUGGAAUGAUCGACCUCCAACAAUUACAACCAUCUUCUUUGUGCGAGUUCUGGAAUGUUGGCCUUCCUUGCGAGGAGAAUGGAGUAUAAAAGUAGUCAGGUUCUGGUACAACUGUACAGGUCAUGAAUGAGAUGGACUAUGACUUUACGAUCUACCUUGUUGUGACCUUGCACCUUAUUGCACUGCACUUUCUCUGUAGCUGUGACACUUUACUCUAUACUGUUAUUGUUUUUGAAAUGUACUACAUCAAUGCACUCUGUACUAACUCAAUGUAAGUGCACUGUGUAAUGAAUUGACCUGUACGAUCAGUUUGUAAGACAAGCUUUACACUGUA
This is a long non-coding RNA of Pristis pectinata (smalltooth sawfish), 542 nucleotides long. RefSeq lists it as uncharacterized. NCBI's taxonomy places the organism in Eukaryota, Metazoa, Chordata, Chondrichthyes, Rhinopristiformes, Pristidae. The transcript has 4 exons. The record is from RefSeq and is a predicted model, not a curated record.